This 232-nucleotide ribosomal RNA is filed under the name uncultured Staphylococcus sp. Its description in RNAcentral is "partial 16S ribosomal RNA". It matches the Rfam family "Bacterial small subunit ribosomal RNA", at positions 108 to 334 of the family's 1533-position model. The record is from RNAcentral. Lineage: Bacteria; Bacillati; Bacillota; Bacilli; Caryophanales; Staphylococcaceae.
GAGUAACACAUGGAUAACCUACCUAUAAGACUGGGAUAACUUCGGGAAACCGGAGCUAAUACCGGAUAAUAUUUUGAACCGCAUGGUUCAAAAGUGAAAGACGGUCUUGCUGUCACUUAUAGAUGGAUCCGCGCUGCAUUAGCUAGUUGGUAAGGUAACGGCUUACCAAGGCAACGAUGCAUAGCCGACCUGAGAGGGUGAUCGGCCACACUGGAACUGAGACACGGUCCAG